AACGAACGCUGGCGGCAGGCCUAACACAUGCAAGUCGAGCGAGAUCUUCGGGUCUAGCGGCGGACGGGUGAGUAACGCGUGGGAAUAUGCCUCUUGGUACGGAAUAGCCUCGGGAAACUGGGAGUAAUACCGUAUGUGCCCUUUGGGGGAAAGAUUUAUCGCCAAGAGAUUAGCCCGCGUUGGAUUAGGUAGUUGGUGGGGUAAUGGCCCACCAAGCCGACGAUCCAUAGCUGGUUUGAGAGGAUGAUCAGCCACACUGGGACUGAGACACGGCCCAGACUCCUACGGGAGGCAGCAGUGGGGAAUCUUAGACAAUGGGGGCAACCCUGAUCUAGCCAUGCCGCGUGAGUGAUGAAGGCCUUAGGGUUGUAAAGCUCUUUCAGCUGGGAAGAUAAUGACGGUACCAGCAGAAGAAGCCCCGGCUAACUCCGUG
RNAcentral lists this ribosomal RNA (433 nucleotides) under uncultured bacterium. RNAcentral describes it as "partial 16S ribosomal RNA". It matches the Rfam family "Bacterial small subunit ribosomal RNA", at positions 29 to 507 of the family's 1533-position model. The record is from RNAcentral.